Molecule: ribosomal RNA, 477 nt
Filed under: uncultured bacterium
Lineage: Bacteria
Description: bacterial SSU rRNA
Rfam family: Bacterial small subunit ribosomal RNA
Source: RNAcentral
UCAGGACGAACGCUGGCGGCGUGCCUAACACAUGCAAGUCGAGCGAGGAGAUCCUUCGGGAUGAUCCUAGCGGCGGACGGGUGAGUAACACGUGGGCAACCUGCCUCAUAGAGAGGAAUAGCCUUCCGAAAGGGAGAUUAAUACCUCAUAACAUUGCAGUUUCGCAUGGAACAGCAAUUAAAGGAGCAAUCCGCUAUGAGAUGGGCCCGCGGCGCAUUAGCUAGUUGGUGAGGUAACGGCUCACCAAGGCGACGAUGCGUAGCCGACCUGAAAGGGUGAUCGGCCACAUUGGGACUGAGACACGGCCCAGACUCCUACGGGAGGCAGCAGUGGGGAAUAUUGCACAAUGGGGGAAACCCUGAUGCCAGCAACGCCGCGUGAGUGAUGACGGCCUUCGGGUUGUAAAGCUCUGUCUUCAGGGACGAUAAUGACGGUACCUGAGGAGGAAGCCACGGCUAACUACGUGCCAGCCGCCGC